This is a long non-coding RNA of Pleuronectes platessa (European plaice), 1213 nucleotides long. RefSeq lists it as uncharacterized. The transcript is spliced from 2 exons. NCBI's taxonomy places the organism in Eukaryota, Metazoa, Chordata, Actinopteri, Pleuronectiformes, Pleuronectidae. The record is from RefSeq and is a predicted model, not a curated record.
GAGUCGAGUAGCUGUCACUCCCCUGUGUUUAUAAGGUGUGGUUUUUACUCACCAAUGGCAGCGCAUACACCAUAGCAGGUCCACUACCCGCUACUCCAUCAUGCAAAGAAACGGAAAAGUCCGUUCCUUCUGGACGCAGGGGUUUCUUUUUCCAUCUAAACUGGAACUUAGCUCAGCUAGCCUGUUGCUAACAGUCACCGUGGUACACAGCGGGCGAGCUUUAGCCCCGACAGCCGCUAAACAACAACCAGGAGGGAGGAAACUAAAUCAUAACGUCGGGCAUUAGUGGCCCCUUGGCACAGUGUUGGGCAGCGGGCGUUAGCUAACAUGGGAGUCCAUUAUCUCACCGACGCUGCUAACGUUAACUUCAGUGCUAAGUUAGCGGGUUUCCUGUCGUGACAACGGAGCUAGCGGAAGCGUCAUAAAGUUUCCCGACCGGCUGGAAUGGACGACCAUGAAGUUGACUGCGACCAUCUAGUUUGAGGAGAACUACGUGAAACCUGACACGACAACAGGAGGAUCAUGUGUGAGGAUGCCUCGACAAACAUCUACUGUACUUAUCGAUCGGAUAUGAAGAGGAUGGGGGUGGACAAAGAAACCACAGAGGGAAAGACAGCGGGGUUACCUGGCUGUUUUGGAGCCAGGCUAGGGCUGCCCCUGGUCGGAUCACUGGUACUUUGAACUCCUGCCAUUUGUUGCUCUUGGUCCUGGAUGUCUUUCUCCUCCAAAUGGUCAAGGAGCUUGUCUAACGUCGUCUCUAGUGUUUGCGUUGCUUGUGUGCGAUCAAACUCUCCUUUCAGACCCUCAGUCUCCAAUUCCUGCUGGGCCUACAAGACAGAGAAAAGCAAAGAAUUACAUUAUGUUUAAGAUCUGCUUAAUAUUGUGUCCAAAUUAAAUGUUAUAUGUGGUCAGAAACCUCAUUUAUGAUGUUGUCAAACUCCUUCUGCAUUUCCUCCUUUAUUUCUUCAAUCUUAUCGGACGGCACAGAGAGGUCAGCUAUCUUAUCCUCGAAAUCCUGCAGCAGGCGUUCGUCUUCAUCUUUCUCUUCCUGGCCGAGCUUCUCCGUCACCCUGUCUAAUGCUGGUUUUUCUCCUCGACUUCUGGCUUGGUUUUGAUCUUUCUAAAAAAGCAAAAAUCAGCAUUGAACUGCAAUAUUCCACACUGCAAAGAAAAAUAAAUGUACUCCAAGAGAUGUUAAAAAAAAAGUAACAUG